Molecule: long non-coding RNA, 1089 nt
Organism: Balaenoptera ricei (Rice's whale)
Lineage: Eukaryota; Metazoa; Chordata; Mammalia; Artiodactyla; Balaenopteridae
Exons: 2
Source: RefSeq, a predicted model, not a curated record
CCGCGUGGGCCGCGGUGGGAGGCGCCGGUGGCAGGCUCCCGCGAGCCCCGAUGGGCCAACAGUUCCGGGGGGACGGCCGCAGGCCGCGAGUCCACGGGGUGCCAGGAGCUCCCCCUCCCCGGAACCCGACCCCGGCUGAGGCAGCAACGGUUUGCCCGGGCCCUCCCCCUUCUCUCCACGCCAGCGAAUCUUCCUGGACCAGAGAGCGACACGCUCCUAGACCCGGGCUUUCUCUCAGCUUUGAGACCAGGUGCUGGUUGGCAACGCAGAAGAGGCAAAAGUGAAGAAAGCGAAGACGAAGGGCAGCUGAAUGGAAACGGUUCGGGGGGUCUUCCCGGCUCCCAGCACCCCCAAGAAGAUGGCUGCCGAUAAAUCUCGCGAGAAUUGUUGAAGUGUCGCGGUGACUCCCGGAGCCUGCUGGGAAGAGACGUAAGAUCAGCGGAGAGCGCGCUAGGCAAGUACGGCGAAUUUUGCGUCUUUGCGUGGCUUGUGGGCCCUGUGCUUUUUCACGCCUUGAUUCUCUUAAGGAAUAAAGACUUCAUUUUUUUUUGCAAGGAGGGAAAGGCCGCUGAUUUCAGGAUCAGCGGGAACCCCAGCCCGUCCUCUGUAACAGACGGCGUGGCGCAUCGGCUGGAACGACCCUGCGACGGGAGCGCUCCUCUGAGAGCGUCCACUCGGAUGUGGCGGGAUGCAGGCGACCUGGGGAUUACAGAAGUGAAUCAAGAGCUGGACUUCCUUGGGGGCGCAGUGGUUAAGAAUCCGCCAGCCAAUGCAGGGGACACGGGUUCGAGCCCUGGUCCGGGAAUAUCCCACGUGCCGCAGAGCAACUAAGCCUGUGCGCCACAACUACUGAGCCUGCGCUCUAGAGCCCGUGAGCCACAACUACCGAGCCCACGUGCCACAACUACUGAAGCCUGUGCGCCUAGAGCCUGUGCUCAGCAACGAGAAGCAUGCACACCGCAACGAAGAGUAGCCCCCGCUCGCCGCAGCUGGAGAAAGCCCGCACGCAGCAAAGACCCAACGCAGCCAAAAAAUAAAUAAAUAAAUUUAUUUUUUUAAAUAAAAGUGAAUCAAGAGCAUGUUAAUAAA